UUUACUUAACGUGAUUGUGACUAGCAACCUUCACUACUUGUGAAUAUAAGUUCAUAACGAUUAGGUGAAACUCCUUUAUAUUCUAGCGUUAAAUUCAUGCAUGAAAAUUAAGCGUGCACUCUCAACCAACAUACACAAAUCAUUUUUUAUACGAUCGGAUAAAUAAAUUGAAUUCACAACUUAUGAAUCACAACUGGAUGUAAUCAAAUCAUAUUGCAAGUAUGAACAUGGUUUCGAAUCACCCCCUAACUAAGAGGGGUUUAGUUCCUCAUACUUACAAAGCAAAGAUGCAUAAAUUUAGACAUUAAAAACAAAGAUAGAAAACACCUAGAAACGCUCCAACACUCCCAAGGCUUGGGCAUAGGCACGGCACAAGAUGUUCCUUCCCUUUCCUUCCUUGCAAGCAGCGGCACUAGAGGUUUUGGACGGUUUUGGGUGGUUUUUAUGGUGUAGAAUGGAUGGGGAAUGGUAUGGAAAGGUUUAGGGUAAGUGUGGAGGAGUGUUUGAGGG
RNAcentral lists this long non-coding RNA (510 nucleotides) under Malus domestica (apple). Its description in RNAcentral is "long non-coding RNA (MDOM_LNC018697)". The record is from RNAcentral. Lineage: Eukaryota; Viridiplantae; Streptophyta; Magnoliopsida; Rosales; Rosaceae.